UACAGAGGUCUCAAGCGUUGUUCGGAUUCAUUGGGCGUAAAGGGUGCGUAGGCGGCGCGGUAAGUCGGGUGUGAAAUCUCGGAGCUUAACUCCGAAACUGCAUUCGAUACUACCGUGCUUGAGGACUGGAGAGGAGACUGGAAUUUACGGUGUAGCGGUGAAAUGCGUAGAGAUCAUGAGGAAGACCAGUGGCGAAGGCGGGUCUCUGGACAGUUCCUGACACUGAGACACGAAGGCCAGGGGAGCAAACGGG
RNAcentral lists this ribosomal RNA (253 nucleotides) under uncultured bacterium. RNAcentral's name for it is "partial 16S ribosomal RNA". It matches the Rfam family "Bacterial small subunit ribosomal RNA", at positions 524 to 776 of the family's 1533-position model. The record is from RNAcentral.